UGUAGUCGUUUUGUAGUCGUCGUCUUUGGUGCAAGCGGCGAGCGACAAUGCUGGUCUUAUCAGCUUUCGUUGACUUCGUUACGGCCCCCACAGCAGCCUUCUCUUCUAGUUUUUCAUUUAAUUGGUCAAUUUUCUGCGCACGUUAAUUUA
Molecule: non-coding RNA, 150 nt
Organism: Caenorhabditis elegans
Lineage: Eukaryota; Metazoa; Nematoda; Chromadorea; Rhabditida; Rhabditidae
Source: Ensembl